Molecule: long non-coding RNA, 2278 nt
Organism: Nerophis ophidion (straightnose pipefish)
Lineage: Eukaryota; Metazoa; Chordata; Actinopteri; Syngnathiformes; Syngnathidae
Exons: 3
Source: RefSeq, a predicted model, not a curated record
GGCCCCAAGGAGCUCCAUGGAGGAAGGGGAAAAAACAGGCCAUAAUGGUUUAAAAAAAAAAAAAAAGUAUGUCAGGAUAAGCAAAUGGCACAUACCGAGGAGAAGUAAUUUCAGCUCCCUCCUGGAAUCUCGCUUGUCUCGGCGAAGUUGUUUGUCAAUUUCGGCAUUGAUUCGCUUCGACUCCUUCGCCUCCUCGCUCAGGCAGCAAGCCAUCAUGGACUCCAGAGUCAUCCUCCCCGUCUUGCCCUUCUUUUUAGGGGGCAGUCCCGCUUUUUUUGGAGCCGGAAAAACACUCGCCUCGCCCCGGCGGAUUUUCAGCUUCCUCCGCACCCGGCCGAUUCUGUGGAAGUCGGACGGACGGACGGGCGGGCGAGGGAGGGAGGGAGAGGCGCAGGAGGGCUAGCAGGGCGGUCGGUCUCGCAGGACGGGGACGAGUGGACCCGGCCGGGGAGGAGGUGGCGGCGGCGUCGGUGGAGGAGGAAGGGGGAGGGGAAGCUUCAACCACCGGGGCCUCGCUGUCAACUUGCCCCGCUUUGCUAGCCGAGCUGGAGCCGCCACUUGUGGCCCUGUUCCUCGGACAAAGUGGCGGUAAUACCGCGUCUCCUUCUUCUCAAUAAUAACAACUAUAACCAACACCGGCUUCAAAAUACAAACUAAAUCGGCUUUUUUUUUUUUUCACCCUCUUCGUUAGACGGCUGACAUCCAAAGCCGAAGAAACGUCGCUUAUCACCGCGGUGCUAGCCGGCUAGCAAAAGACUCACGACCGGGGGUGGGGAGAAAAUGUUAGAUAUUAAGUCGCGCUUGUUGUCAAAAAAAAAUAAUUAAAAGAAAAAAAAACGUUUUGGCUAACGUUAGCCUAGCCAAGCCCGGCGUUGCCUUCUCUCUGCCGGGUUGGGGGUGGAGAAGCGGACCGGAGUCAGUCCGGAGCUAGCUAGCGAUGGCGGGGCAGCACCCCCAUCACGCCCUGGGUCAUUUUGACGGUUUAGGGACGGGGUUUUUUUUUUUUUUUUUCUGGUCAAAGGCGCCGCGGCUGGAGGCUCGUCGCUGGAUGGAAGAAGGCGGUGUGCUGCACAUCCAGCAGCGGCAGCCUGAUGCAUUGGCAGGGGGGAGGAGAUGCUGAGUGACAGCAGCGGGACGAGCUGGGUGGAUCCCAGUUAAGUUGUUUACGAUGAUGGGCUCCUGUCAUCAGACUGUUGAAAAUAGUCACAAAAAAGUUGCCGGACUUCCUCACCCUGACUCGGUUCGCCAGCGUUCGGGGGAGCCUCGGCGUAGCUGGGCUGGGGGCUUUCCGCCUCGGCCACCUCGGUCAGCCACUCGGCGUUGAAGGCGUCGCCGUGGGACUCGCACACGUUGUGCAGAAUGCAGCAGGCCAGGAUCAUGGUGGGCACCACGUGCAGCCCGCAGUCGUUCCUCUUGCUCAGGCACUGCCAGCGCGCCUUCAGCCUCAGCAGCGCCUCCUGGGAGACGUGGCGCGCUCUGCGGAGGCGCUGGUUGAAAAGCUGCUGGCGCUCCGUCAGCGCCACGGGGUUGGACCUGGUGGGCCUUUUGUCCGGGUAGGCCUUCAUCAGCCAGCUCUGGAGCGGGUAGCAGGGCUCCCCGAGCAGCACGUAGCUAGACAGCAAGUGACGUGAAAGCGUUACCAAAAUGGAUACAUGGAUGAUACAGCAGAGGAUUGGGAGAAUGUCAUGUGGUCAGAUGAAACCAAAAUAGAACUUUUUGGUACAAACUCAACUUGUCGUGUUUGGAGGAAGAAGAAUACUGAGUUGCAUCCCAAGAACACCAUACCUACUGUGAAGCAUGGGGGUGGAAACAUCAUGCUUUGGGGCUGUUUUCCUGCUAAGGGGACAGGACGAUUGAUCCGUGUUAAGGAAAGAAUGAAUGGGGCCAUGUAUCGUGAGAUUUUGAGCCAAAACUUCCUUCAAUCAAUGAGAGCUUUGAAUGGUUGACCAAAUACUUAUUUUCCACCAUAAUUUACAAAUAAAUUCUUUAAAAUUCCUACAAUGUGAAUUCCUGGAUUUUUUUUUUCACAUUCUUUGACAGCUCUUUGGUCUUGGCCGUAGUGGAGUUUGGAGUCUGACUGUUUGAAGCUGUGGACAGGUGUCUUUUAUACAGAUAACGAGUUCAAACAAGUGCCAUUAAUACAUGUAACGAGUAGAGGGCAGAAUAGCUUCUUAAAGAAGAAGUUACAGGUCUGUGAGAGCCAGAGAUCUUCCUUGUUUGGAUAAGCUGAUUGGCAACACUAAGUUAGCCCUAGUGUGUGAAUGUGAAUGUUGUCUGU